UUAGAUAUUUUGCUUAUAAAAUUAACCAAGCAGAGGCGCAGCCGGUACGAACCCGAGAUGCCAGCUGUGCAGUAAACGAGCACGAAGAUCAUGCCACCGAAGGCCCAUGCAAUCCCUUGAAUGCCGACGGUUGAGCACUUGGUAUUGGACUUGACGACGCCCAUCACUGUCAGUACGGAGAUGUACAAGAAAAGAAAAGUGGCUAUGAACUCGGCUAUACCGGCCCUGUAAAACGACCAAGACUUGAGCUCGCCGGGCUCAAAGAGCGGCGCCGGUGGGGGCUCAACGUAGUCCUUCCCAUCUUGGGUCUGAGCCGCCGUCCCAAUCGGCUGCCUCUCGGCGAACUUGUUGGCUCCCAGUCUAACAUCCUCUUCUUUACCUUCCAUUUCUGCUAGUCCCUCAAAAACACAAAACAGUCAAUAAGAAGCACUUGCUUUUUUGUUUGUGGCCGUUUGAUGUUGUGAUGAGAAUGAGUGAGAGAGUACUAGAAGUUGGGGGAAGGGGGUUAUAUCAUCCGGAUCAGGGAGUGAUGAGUGCAGGUGGUGGGCUCCAAUUUGGUGUAUAAAAUUGAAUUUACUUACUUAUCUUGUGACCGACCAAUCAUUUUCUUGGAAUUUUGUGGAAAUUACUUAAAUGCGCUUAGACUAUUUAGAAAGAAAAAUGACAUUACGUUGGGGUAUCCUAGCUGGCUCAAUUUCAUCCACAUCUGUAAUGAUGUUGUGGCCACCGUCCAUCAAGGGUCAAGCAGACCGAGUGGGUGGGAAUUGGGACAUGAUGAUCACGGGAUUUAUUACGUAAUUUCAUUGCUCUUUUUAGGGCAAAUUACAGAAACCAAAGCAAGUAGGUUAUUUAAUUUUAAUUUCGUUUUACACUCUCAAAGUCUUUCUCAUUAUCAAUCAGCUUUAUUGUCAUUUUCUUAAUGUGAAUUAUGUCGGUUGCUCUGGCCUAUUGUCCUUUCCGUGUGUCCAUUUCGCUCUAAGGAAUUGGUUCACUGGCACGACUGUAACUUUACGAAUUGAUGCCUCCAUGAAUUAGUCCGUUCCUAUUUGAAUGGCUUUAUUUAUUUUAUCCGUCGUUGUUUCAAAAUAUUUAUUUAGAAGUCGAAGGCUCGGUUUAGGGUUGGCAAAAUCCUGGGUUGGGUUCGGGUAUCGCAAUGUCCAGACUUAGUUUGGAUGUAAUUUUUAGAUGUUCGGAUCAAGUUUUAAUGCGAGUACCUAAAUUUUAUAUUUUUUAAUAUUAUAUGUGUAUAUUUUUUUUGGUAAUUUUAUAAGUUUUAAAUUUAUUUCAAUAAAAUUUGAUAUAAAAAUAUAAACUUUAAGUGUUUAAAAUUUUAUAUCUGUGUAAUAAAUGAGUCAAAUAAAUAUAAAUAUUUAAAAUAGUAUAUAUUUUAUAAUAUUUUUUUAAUAAAAUUUGGGUUCCGAGCCGAGCUCCGAAUUUAUCAAGUGAUGCUCAAGAUCGGUCUGGCUUCAUACUCAAGCUGGGUAAUACCAUGCCCACAACGCCCGGGUGCGGUACGGGUCUGGACCAGGCGGGUAUUUUUGCCACCCCUAGCUCGGUUGGAAUUGAAAUUAGACAAUUAUAAUUUCAAAGUUAUAGUACUAAAAUAUUUUUUAUAUAUUAAUUAUUGUAACUUGCAAGUUAAGUUGAUUUGAGUUUAUACUUAUAUGAUAAAAAAUCUAUUAUAUUUUUAUUAAUUUUAACAAAAUUAUUGUUUAAAAAUUGUGUUUACUAUGUACUAUUAAUUUUUAUUUCAUAUUUACUAUAUAAUAUUAAUUUAUGUUAUUUAGAGCCAAUCUGACUGCACAGUCACAAAAUUGAUUAGAAAGUUCUAGUAGACCCUUUAUUCUAAAUAUUAGGGGACUGUAACAUUAUUAAAAAAAAUUACAGCCCUAGUUGAUCGAAGUUAUGAUUUAACGUCGAGAAGUCGUCAAUAAAGUUCUUUUUGGGAUUAAGGUGCUGUAACUUUUAAGUUACAGCUGCUAUGGAAAAAAUUGUAAUUAUGAAACAAAAAUUGAUAAUAUAUAGUAAAUAUAAAUUUUAAAUAAUAAUUUUAACAAAAUUAUUAAAGAUAUAAUAGAUCUUCCAUCAUACAAUUGAAAAUUCAUAUCAACAUAACUUUCAAGUUACAGUAACUAGUGUUUACCAUAUACUUUAGUGCCGUAGAUUUUAAAUUUCAAUCACAAAUAAACCCUAAGACAUAUAGGCAAUUUUUUAACAGUUGAACUCAGAAGACUAUAAAAUAUACUUAAGUACAUUUUUUUUUUUUUUACAACUUGCAUAACUAGCUCUCCCUCGGAUAAUGUUUAGGAACAGAACAAUGUGUUGCUUUGUAUUUAUAUUUUUAACGCAUGAACGUCUACAUUAGAAUUUAGAAACCUAUUUAUGUUAUAAAGAUAGCAUCGUCGUAAUCAAUAAUUUUACUCUUCCUGAAAAUACACUAGGUUAUAAAAAUAAAUUGAUACAACAAUUAACUUAAUUUUUGAGUAUUACUUACGAAAAAAAAGUUCAGGAGUUGGAAGCGACUUAAAAAUGAAUUUAGAUCAAUUACUACAGUAAAAAAUAGUAUUCUUUUUUUUUGGGUGGCGUUUAUGCACAUAAUUUGAAUUAUAAUUUUUCUAAUUGAUGUUAUUCCUACAUGGACUAGAAUCCUCUCAUGAUAUGAGUUUUUCUAAUAUUUUAUAGAUUUUAUACAACUUGUAUUUUGGUGCUAAUAUAUAAUUAUGAUUUAAUUAUCUUUACUUUUUUAUUUAUUAACCACCAACGACAUUAAUAAAAUUUAUUUAUGAAAAUAUCAUAUUAAGAGAGGAUCAUAAUCCUUCCUGCAUUAGGCAGCUGUAGCGAAUGAUUAUCUCUUAAUAAGUACAAAAUCAUAGAGAAAUUUUAUGCUGGCAGGUAUUUUUAUAUAUUACACAGGACGGUAGUUAAUGGCGAAUUCAUGGAAAUUAAUUAUGCCAAUCAUGUCAACUAACAUGUUUCUUAUAGCGUGUUAUUGUUGUAGUGAUUUGUCUGGAUGAUAUUGAAUAAUCUUCAUGAUAUUUGCAAUCAAUAGUUGGGUUUGUGCUUUAAUUAGCUUCGUCAUUUCUUUCUGGCAAAGAAAGGUUAAAUGCAUCUUUUUAAUUAUAUUUGUAAUCUAUUUGGAGGGAAUGUUUUAUGGACCUUAAUAUUUGAGCGAAUUUAAGCUCAAUAAUAUUCAAGCUGCAUGCCCCUAUAUAGAAAACGAUACGAGUCACGUCACAUAAAUAUAUGAAACAACAUGAACCCAUAAUUUUAUUACAUAAACAUGAAAACUAUAGACAACAAAGAAGUGACUGUACCUUUUUAUUGAAUUAAAAAAUGCACCAUCAUAUGAGUUAAAAAAAAAUUAAAAAUGCACUAAAAUGACAUUACUUUUUUAUUUAAGUAAAUUAUAAAAUUGAGAAAUUUAUAAAGUAGCCUAUCUAUGAAAUUGCCUCCAAACGGAGCAGGUUAUAUUGACACUAUUUUUUAUGUUAAAUUUUACUCUCAUAAAUAUAAAACACUCAAAACCUCGACCUUUCAGAUAAUAAGAGUUGGCAUGAACCAACUCAACUAAAGAGUUAUUAACAUACUUGAUACUAUAAAUCUAAUUUUCUACUCUCAUAAUUUCUAUUCUUUUAAUUCUUAUCCAUUUAAAGAAUGAAAUACUAUAGAUUAUUUUUUUAAUAGUAAAAAAAUUUAAUUAGUCAAUAGUAAAUUUCAUCCUAAAUGAUGUGGAUUUAUUCACUUAUUGGUAAGAUAAUUUAAUUAAUUCAUUUAGAAUUUAUUAAAGAUCAUCAACCACUUAAUAAAUGAUACAUCACGUGCCAUAUAAUUUGGGAUAACAUUUUGGGAUGUCAUCACAUAAAACUCUUGAAGUUUGGUUUCAUUAUUUGCAUAUAUAUUUUUUAUAUAAUAAACUAGUGAUUCUCUCGUAUAGUUGUACAAAUGUCUAUCCUUCAUUAAAAAAAAAAAGUAAAAGCAAACAAUGUAUAAUUCUUUAGUGGGUAAAAGCUUGUAAUUUAGUCCUUAUAUUAUGAGGUUAGUGUUCAUUUAGUCCCUAUAUUUUUAAAAACACCUCAAAACGUCCCUGUUACUAAAUAUUGACACUUAUGCGAUUAUUUUUUAUUAUUUUUAACUUGCUUUUACAAUAUUACAUUUUUACAAUAAUGUUUCUUUUUUGGAUAUUAAUAAAAAAUUAAAUUAUCAAAUUAAACUCAAAAAUAAAAUAAAAACAAAAAAGGUAUAUAUUAAUUUUUGUGGAAACUCACGUAUGUCUAAAAAAUUAAUAUCGUAAAAAAUUACAUUAUCAAUUUUUUUAGAAAAAUUAAUAUUUUAACUCAAGAGUGUGUUCCACAAAAAUUAAUAUAUAUUAUUUUAUUUUAUUUUAUUUUUUGGUGUUAAACUGGUAAUUUAUUUUUUCCUUUUUAAUAAUGUCUAAAAAAUUAUUAUAAUAGGGUUAUUUUUUUCUUUUUAAUAAUGUCUAAAAAAUUAUUAUAAUAGAGCAAUAUUAUAAAAAUAAGUUAAAAGGAACAAAAGAUAAUGGCAAAAGUGUCAAUAAUUUAAUGGUAGGGAUGGUUUAAGGUAUUUUUAAAAAUAUAGGGACUAAACGGGCACUAACUUCAAAAUAUAGAGACUAAACGAGCUUUUACCCUUCUUUAGUUAUGCAAUGUUGGUUUUAACCAUACAAAGAAGUAAUAUUACAUUGCAACAAAACAGAGCAAAACAUCCGUGCAUGUUUAGCUAUACACGAUUAAAAGUUGAUUAGUUUUGUUUUCUUAUAUAAUAACUAUUAAUUGUAUCUUUAAAAAAAAUUAUUAAAAAAGUCAGCUUAAUACUGAAUCCAAAUUUACGUAGUAAAUCCUCCGCCAUUUAAAAUUGUCGUAUAAUCGACAAUGUUAAUUAAAUUAAAUCUAUUCCAUUUCCUUUGUAAGUCAUUUUCUUUUGGAUUGACCAUAAACUUCAAUAUUACAUCAUAGCAUCAUAACCAUUUUUUUUUUUAAUUUGAAAUUUUAUGUACAUAUAUAACAAUUCUCCAAACGACAUUCAUUUAUAACCAAAACGCAAAAAAAUACCAGCACGCAAACUUCAUACGAUAGCGAGCAUAUAUAUGGUGUUCCAUAAUACAUAAUGAUUAUGCUUCUAACAACGCCUCUUCAACUAAGGCAAAUUCUUUUUGGUUGGCUAGUAUUCAAAAAAUUCGAUAAGAUCCAUUUAUUAAUUAUAUAUAUUAUAUGUUUGUAAUAUACAGUUUUAUCCGCAUAUAUAUAUUUAGAGUGUGUGGAUCUACUAUUGUAGUAUUGUGUAUCAUUAUUGUACUGUUUAUUGUUUAAUGAAAUUACUUUGCUUUUUAAGAAAAAAUAAACUACAUAAAUUUAAAUAAAGCCACUGCCAGCGGCUUCUUUGUGCAUAGGCAUUACAGAAAAUUCAUACACAAAACCAAACAACCAGAAAAUUUAACGAACCGAAAAUGCAUGGACUUGGGAUAAUCUAAAAUAUAAAACAGAACCACCAACGACAGCCAUAAACAAAUGCAUCAGCAAUCACGACCGUUCAUAAGACCAUCAGCUUGAUUUGAACGGAAUGGCUCUGAUCACAACCUGGUGGUACAAAGCUGCAAGUGCUGCUCCAAUGAAUGGUCCCACCCAGAAAAUCCACUGCAUCAAAACCAUAUAUAAGAUUGAUCAUGAUUAACUGAUUAAUUACCAUUAUUGAAUUUACGUCCACAAGUGUAAUCUUGAUGACCGAGAUCUUAUUUUAGGGUAAUCAAGAGAGUAAAUUAAACUUACAUGGUCAUCCCAACCGUGGUCCUUGUUGUAGAUGAUUGCAGCUCCAAGACUCCUUGCGGGGUUGAUGCCAGUUCCGGUAAUAGGGAUAGUAGCCAAGUGAACCAAGAACACAGCGAACCCAAUUGGCAAAGGAGCCAAAAUCUAACCAUAUUCAAUAAGGUAGUUAUUAGUAAAGGUAAUAAUUAUGAUUAUUAUUGGUUAAUUAAUCAUACAUUAACCAGAAAAAGAAUCAACUUACAGGAACAUGAGAGUCUCUGGCGCUACGUUUGGCGUCAGUGGCAGAGAAAACUGUGUAGACAAGAACAAAAGUACCAAUAAUCUCGGCACCAAGACCAUCACCCUUGGUGUAGCCAUGAGCUACAGCAUUGGCACCGCCGCCGAGCCGACCGUAUUGGCCGGCACCCAUGAAACCCUUUACAACGCCAGCACCACAGAUGGCUCCCAGACACUGCAUCACCAUGUAGAAAAGUGCACGUGUCAACGACAGCUUCCUCGCCAAGAACAGCCCGAAUGUCACCGCCGGGUUGAUAUGACCACCUGCGUCACAACAAAAAGUUUAAAAAAUCAAAAAUUAUUUUGUCGAACCCUUUAGUUAUUUUGCUCAUAAAAUUAAUUAACCAGAAGCGCAGCUGGUACAAACCCGAGAUGCCAGCUGUGCAGUAAACGAGCGCGAAGAUCAUGCCACCGAAGGCCCAUGCAAUCCCUUGAAUGCCGACGGUUGAGCACUUGGUGUUGGACUUGACGACGCCCAUCACUGUCAAUACGGAGAUGUACAAGAAAAGAAAAGUGGCUAUGAACUCGGCUAUACCGG
Molecule: long non-coding RNA, 6594 nt
Filed under: Citrus x clementina
Lineage: Eukaryota; Viridiplantae; Streptophyta; Magnoliopsida; Sapindales; Rutaceae
Description: Citrus clementina (C. clementina) long non-coding RNA (CCLE_LNC003248)
Source: RNAcentral